GAUGAAGAACGUAGCGAAAUGCGAUAAGUAGUGUGAAUUGCAGAAUUCAGUGAAUCAUCGAAUCUUUGAACGCAAAUUGCGCCCCUUGGUAUUCCAUGGGGCAUGCCUGUUCGAGCGUCAUUUGUACCUUCAAGCUCUGCUUGGUGUUGGGUGUUUGUCUCGCCUCUGCGUGUAGACUCGCCUCAAAACAAUUGGCAGCCGGCGUAUUGAUUUCGGAGCGCAGUACAUCUCGCGCUUUGCACUCAUAACGACGACGUCCAAAAGUACAUUUUUACACUCUUGACCUCGGAUCAGGUAGGGAUACCCGCUGAACUUAAGCAUAUCAAUAAGCGGAGGA
RNAcentral lists this unclassified non-coding RNA (337 nucleotides) under soil metagenome. RNAcentral's name for it is "partial contains 5.8S ribosomal RNA, internal transcribed spacer 2, and large subunit ribosomal RNA". The stretch from base 1 to 120 matches the Rfam family "5.8S ribosomal RNA", at positions 35 to 154 of the family's 154-position model. The record is from RNAcentral.